This 582-nucleotide long non-coding RNA is filed under the name Zostera marina. Its description in RNAcentral is "long non-coding RNA (ZMAR_LNC005021)". The record is from RNAcentral. Lineage: Eukaryota; Viridiplantae; Streptophyta; Magnoliopsida; Alismatales; Zosteraceae.
AUUGUUUUAGUUAAUAUCACCACUUGAUAGAUCCCCAAAAGCUACUCGUCGAUUUGUCGUGCUUAAAGUCCCUCUAACUCGCCGAUUCCAGAGUGAAAGAGUUCACUUCCAACUCGCCGAUUCCAGAGUGAAAGAGUUCACUUCCAACUCGCCGAUUCCGCCGUGAAAUCGCCGAUUUAAAGUGAGCCAAGUUCCAAUUCGCCGAUUACUCGCCGAUUUAAAGACUCCAAUCGACGAUCACACAGAUUUUGAGUAGAUUUUAAGUGGGUUCAAUAGUGUGUAUUUUGAGUGGUUAUUCACUCCCAAUAGCUUCUUUCCCGCCGAAUUAAUACAGGAAUCGCCGAUACCCUAUCCCACUCGCCGAUAGCCUUCCCACACUCGCCGAUAGCCCCCCCCAACUCGCCGAUAUAAGAAUGGGGAUUCCUUACGGAAUCGACCCUAGUCUGUCUGGGCAGUUGGAAGGGUUCUCGUACUCUCGCCGAGUCUCCUUUCCACUCGCCGAUCCAAAUUUGGGGAUCCCUUGUGGGAUCAACCCUAAUCUGUCUUGGCGGCUGGGGGAGCUUCUCGUUGGCCGGAGGAUAG